GUGCUUGUUUCAGCAGCACACAUACUAAAGCUGGAACAGAGAUUAGCAUGGCCCCUGUGCAAGGAUGACAUGCAAAUUCAUGAAGUGUACCAUAUUUUU
Molecule: small nuclear RNA, 99 nt
Filed under: Castor canadensis (American beaver)
Lineage: Eukaryota; Metazoa; Chordata; Mammalia; Rodentia; Castoridae
Source: RNAcentral